GAUGAACGCUGGCGGCGUGCUUAACACAUGCAAGUCGAACGGAAAGGCCCAAGCUUGCUUGGGUACUCGAGUGGCGAACGGGUGAGUAACACGUGGGUGAUCUGCCCUGCACUUCGGGAUAAGCCUGGGAAACUGGGUCUAAUACCGGAUAGGACCACAUUUUGGAUGGUGUGGUGGAAAGUUUUUCGGUGUGGGAUGAGCUCGCGGCCUAUCAGCUUGUUGGUGGGGUAAUGGCCUACUAAGGCGUCGACGGGUAGCCGGCCUGUGAGGGUGUACGGCCACAUUGGGACUGAGAGACGGCCCAGACACCUACGGGAGGCAGCAGUGGGGAAUAUUGCGCAAUGGGCGCAAGCGUGAGGCAGCGACGCCGCGUGGGGGAUGACGGCCUUCGGGUUGUAAACUCCUUUCGCUAGGGACGAAGCGUUUUUGUGACGGUACCUGGAGAAGAAGCACCGGCUAACUACGUG
This 467-nucleotide ribosomal RNA is filed under the name uncultured bacterium. Its description in RNAcentral is "partial 16S ribosomal RNA". It matches the Rfam family "Bacterial small subunit ribosomal RNA", at positions 28 to 507 of the family's 1533-position model. The record is from RNAcentral.